GUCGCUUUCGAGAUAAGGUAAGGAAAACCACCAUCGUUGCCUUCUCCUUUCGCAAAGGUGUGCCCUUUCCGAGGCGAUAAUAAAAGCUAGAAAUGACUUCCGCGUUCUCUCACACACCUGAGGGGCCACUUUUUGGCUGUUCAGUUUGGCUGCUGAGCUGGUGGUUUAUUUAUGAUUAUCCAUUGUACAUGCUGGUGGUCUUGGUCCCCAUGGUAUGAGGGUGGGCUGCCUUGCUUGCUUUAUCCGGGCCCUUUCCGUCCUAGCUAUGCCCGUUCGCUUGAAAAGCUGUCAUUUAAAAGGAACAGGGAGGAGGUUGCAGGUGAGCAGAAAACUGCGUGGCACGUGCCAAACCUGAAUGAAAAACCCAUUUCCUAACUUCCAUGCAGAAGCUGCCUGUUGAGAAAAAUCAUUCUUUUUCUGCCUUGCAUAAUAGCACCAGCUGCAGGCUCCAAGUUACACGGACUAAAGGACAAAGCAGACCAUGAUGCUGCCGUUAUGCGACAUCCUUGUGCUCAGACGCACGUCUCCACUUGGCACAGAGUCAGUCCUUUGUUUACCCACCAAAGUUUGUUCUCAAAGACCACCCUUUCCUGGAAAGCCCACACCUACCUGCAACUACNGCUGCUUUUAGCCCCAAAAGUUCGGCAACCUGUCAGCAGCACAGUGGGACCCACAGGUGGGAUAUCCCAAACUUUAUUUAAUGCGCUGGUAUCUUGCCACACAACCGCACAUCUGGUAGGGCUCUUUCAGCCCUGCCGAAAUCAGUUUCUUAGGUUUACUGCGCUUAUGCGCAAAGCCGUCAAAAAUGGUACCCGCUGUGCUAAGCUCCCAGAAGUUGUUUCCGGUGCAGGGACAAAGGAGCUCUUGCGUGUCUGGCAGCCCAAGUUUCAGGCCAAUGUUGGCAUUCUGUCAAGAUCUGGCAUUUCCCUUUGCCACCUGGGAAGUCCCUGAGAGAGAGAACUUGCAGCUGGAUUCCCUUUAGACAUCUGUGGUGACCUGCCAUGUCCAGUUUUCUUUCAAUGUAUGCUCCCCCUUGUGCUGAAAUAUUUGGCUUGCUGUUUUCCAGGGUCAGACCAGUCUCCGCUUCUGUCUUCACCUGUGAUGCCUUUGCCUCUGUGAGCACCUCGGGCCAGGGAGAUUUGCCAAGACCCUCCGACACCGCUGUGGCGCAAAAUGGACCAGGAAAGCUAAGUCUGAACAAUUUCUUCUGCAAAAUUCUUCCAUUGUCCCUGCAAGGAAUGGAAUGUUACAUUCUAAGUUGGAAAUGGUUGAGGAAUGUGGUGAACCCGUUUGGAAGGGGACAGGUCUAAGAUCUUAGGUGGACUCGUUCCCUGCAUCGUCCCCCCCCCCCAAAAAAAAAAAGUGAGCCUCUGGAAGUUUCUAGCAUACUGCAUCAUCCUUGCCGGCAAAUGAUUGCUGGAGGUGUCAGCAGGAAGAGAAAAGUGUGGGCUCAGCUUGUAAGCCAAAGCAAACACCCAGCAAGCCGCAAGCUUGCUUAGCGAACCCAGAGCCCCUCCGAACAGCGGCCAAAAAAAGAAAACAGGCAUAAUUGCCCCUCCUGGAAUGAAAAGGCAGAAGCCAGUCGGCAGCCGUUGGCGUCUGUGGCUUGCUGCUAUGUGCUUCUGGGAGUUGGAGGAGGAACGCAGAGGCCUUUUUCCCUGCAAGGGAUUCCACACGCUUUUUUCUGGGCACGGGCCGCUCGGCUGGGUCACGAGUGGUCUUGGCCAAAACCUGGAGCUCGGAAAGGCUGGAGGCAGCUGGAGUCACCCACAAUCCAGANAGGAGAGGAAUGGGAUUUCCUUUGUGGCAUUGUCCAGUCAGUCAAGCAGACCUUGAUUGCAGAUCUGAAGUCUCACGAUUCUUAGAGAAACCCUGUGGUCACAGUGCAGAUGGGCUGGGAACUGGGGAACGGUGUUUCAUCCGGAGCUUCUACCACUUCAUUCCACACCGACUCCCUUUUUGGAGCAAUUCGGUCCAAAAGGGCUGUAGCUCUGAGACCAAAACAGCAAGCAUUCUUUUUAUUUUGAUCGUUAAACAAUAGAAAAAGAAAAACAUACCUGCAGAAAACCAUCCAGACAGUAAAAAUAAGACAGGCUGCUGAAUUAGAGCACUUUCCAUCUUUUUUAAAGGCGGGGGGGCGGGGAGAUGAUGAAACUUUUUUCCUGAGCUUUGGGGAGUAGAAAACACCCACUGCCUUUGAAUUCCAGCUGCAUUUUGGGAAAAGGUUACAUGUACAAAAGUGUUGAACAAGCAAGCAAGCCAGCUCUUGGCUGUUAAAAUAAGGUGAAAAGUCACAGAGACCCAUUGAGAUGUUAUUGUGUGGGAGAGUUAAAAGGUGUUCCCUUCCCACACCGCCCCAGCAAAAUGCAUUUUAAAAAAAUACCAGGGAGAUAACUUUGGUUUAAUAUGUGUCUAUAAAAUCUGACUCAACAGGCUUUCUGGUUCAUUUGGAAACUCCCAUACUGCAAUACGGAGAACCUGACCAGGUAAAAAUGGUUUGGAUACUGGAAAAGGUACCUAUAUUUAAACCCACAACCCCACAGAAUCUAGGGGACCCUUUCUGAAAGAAAGAAGGCUGCUGCCCCUCUGCACAAUUUGGGUUCCUUUUCCAGUCUCUUUUUCUGUGGAUCAGAUGCAACUGAACUCUUCAGUCUUUUCCAGCUCAAGGAAAAGAUGCAGCGUAUUUAAAAGUAAAUCAUUUUAUGGGCAGGGGUGCGGUUCAGAAGGAAGUGCAUUUUUUAAAUUCUUAUUAAUUUUAAACAAACAAUUUUAAACACUUGAGAGGAAAAGUUCCAAAGUCCAAACAGACAUAUAAACAAGUCAAAAUGCAAAAAAAAAAAAAAAGCCCCAAAUANAUUACGGCCAUGAUUAGCAAGCUGCUUGGAGAAAGAGAGUUCAUCUUAGCAUUAUCGGUAUGACAAAUUCAAAAGACUGGGAAUCCAAGGCGGGAAAGGGGAAGCAUCCUGCAACCCCAAAGNGUGUUUGGAUUGGAAGCAUGGAUUGAGGUGGACUCAAAAAGUUGGCAUCGGCUGCCCAUCGCUAACUCCAACUCAGUUGCACUAAACGCUUAAUAAUGUAUGCCUAAGAAUGUAAGACGUGCAUGACUGGAUCAGUCCAAGAAGGUUCCAUCCAGCAGUCUGAUGCCCCAGGAGCCAGCCAACUUCACACAGAAGCCCACAGGCAAGACACAAGCACAGCUUGCCCUGCCCACAUUCCCACUGCAGUUCACCAUCACCACGGAAGACAAGCUGACCUUUUCCAGAAAGCUAAAAGGCGCAUCACUGAGAUAAUUUCUUACCUGUUCCGCUCUCUGUUCUUCUUCCCCACAGGCCACGUUGCUUGCCACAGGAAGAAAAGGUUACGUCUCCCGGACCCCUUCCAAGCCAGCUAUCGGACCUGUACNGCAAGACAGACACACUCAGUUAUGGUAUCGCUGGAGCAGCUGACAGAGGUGAAGAUUCCGUGCUGUGUUCUGUCAUUUUUAGUACGAUACUGGUAGAGUUAUUCUUCUGUUAAACACCUUGGGCCUCCUUUGCUAAGAAAAGGAGGGACAUGGAGAUAAAUAGGCUGGCCUAGCCCACUAUAAGUUUUGGGUUCUCAUUCUUACCAGCCUUACCUGGAACGAGGUGUUCUGCCACUGAAUUGGGAAGUGAACAACACCUCUCCUGUUAUAACCCUGGAAGAGCCCUGAGGUCAUCUGGAGGUUCCACGUAAUACAGAAUGCCAUCUUAUGACAGCUCACUGCGGGACCUUCUUAGUGGUAGCACCUUCCCUUUGGAAUGCCCUCCUUUCUGCUGUACACGAGGUACCUAUUAAAGACCUAUAUUUUUACACAGGCAUUUCCUGUGGGAAUAUUUGUUUCUCCCCCCCGACCCUCUAAGUUUUUAAUGUGUUUUAACUACUGUUUUUACUCUUGUUUUUAACUCUUGUUUUUAAGGCUCCGUAAAUCACUUUGAAAUUGGUUCAAUGGAAGGUGGCAUAAAAAUAUCUUAAAUAAAUAAGUGAAUGAGUAAUUAAACA
Molecule: long non-coding RNA, 4020 nt
Filed under: Salvator merianae (Argentine black and white tegu)
Lineage: Eukaryota; Metazoa; Chordata; Lepidosauria; Squamata; Teiidae
Description: lncRNA (ENSSMRG00000002131.1)
Source: RNAcentral